RNAcentral lists this ribosomal RNA (1081 nucleotides) under uncultured Rhizaria. RNAcentral describes it as "SSU rRNA". It matches the Rfam family "Eukaryotic small subunit ribosomal RNA", at positions 577 to 1674 of the family's 1831-position model. The record is from RNAcentral.
CGGUAAUUCCAGCUCCAAUAGCGUAUACUAAAGUUGUUGCAGUUAAAAAGCUCGUAGUUGGAUUUCUGCGGGGACGGAGCGGCCGGUCGCAACUUGCGACUCGAGCUAGCGCUUUCCCCGCAUCCUGCCGCGAACCGUGCUACCAUUAGUUUGGUGGCGCUGGGGAUCGGCUCGAUUACUUUGAGAAAAAUAGAGUGUUCAAAGCAGGCCACACGCCUUGAAUAAGUUAGCAUGGAAUAAUGACUAAGGACUUUGGUUCUUUUCGUUGGUGUUCGGGACUGAAGUAAUGAUUGAUAGGGACAGUUGGGGCGGUCCGUAUUCCAAAGCGAGAGGUGAAAUUCUUAGACCUUCGGAAGACGAACAGCUGCGAAAGCGUUCCGCAAGGAUGUUCCCUUUGAUCAAGGACGAAAGUUGGGGGAUCGAAGACGAUCAGAUACCGUCGUAGUCUCAACUAUAAACUAUACCAGCUAGGGAUCGGCCAACGUUUAACUAUUCGACUUGGUCGGCACCUUAUGAGAAAUCAAAGCAUCUGGGUUCCGGGGGGAGUAUGGUCGCAAGGCUGAAACUUAAAGGAAUUGACGGAAGGGCACCACCAGCCGUGGAGCCUGUGGCUUAAUUUGACUCAACACGGGAAAACUUACCAGGUCCGGGCAUAGUAAGGAUUGACAGAUUGAUAGCUCUUUCUUGAUUCUGUGGGUGGUGGUGCAUGGCCGUUUUUAGUCGGUGGAUGUGAUCUGUCUGCUUAAUUGCGUUAACGGACGAGACCCCAGCCUGCUAAAUAGCGCGGCCGAGCUUUGCUCGGUGCGAGCUUCUUAGAGGGACCAUGAUGCGCGAUAGCACAAGGAAGUUUGGGGCAACAACAGGUCUGUGAUGCCCUUAGAUGUUCUGGGCCGCACACGGGCUACACUGGCGCCUGCAACGAGCAUAUCAGCUGGCCCGAGAGGGUCUUGGCUAAUCUUUGGAACCGGCGCCGUGCUUGGGAUUGACCAUUGCAAUUGUUGGUCAUGCAACGAGGAAUGCCUUGUAAACGCGAGUCAUCAGCUCGCAUUGAAUACGUCCCUGCCCCUUGUACACACCGCCC